AUUGAACGCUGGCGGCAGGCCUAACACAUGCAAGUCGAGCGGAUGCAGGGAGCUUGCUCCUGGAUUCAGCGGCGGACGGGUGAGUCAUGCCUAUGAAUCUGCCUGGUAGUGGGGGAUAACGUCCGGAAACGGGCGCUAAUACCGCAUACGUCCUGAGGGAGAAAGUGGGGGAUCUUCGGACCUCACGCUAUCAGAUGAGCCUAGGUUGGAUUAGCUAGUUGGUGGGGUAAAGGCCUACCAAGGCGACGAUCCGUAACUGGUCUGAGAGGAUGAUCAGUCACACUGGAACUGAGACACGGUACAGACUCCUACGGGAGGCAGCAGUGGGGAAUAUUGGACAAUGGGCGAGAGCCUGAUCCAGGCAUGCCGCGUGUGUGAAGAAGGACUUCGGAUUGGAAAGCACUGUAGGUUGGGAGGAAGGGCAGUAAGUUAAUACCGUGCUGUUUUGACGUUACCAACAGAAUAAGCCCCGGCUAACUUCGUG
This 484-nucleotide ribosomal RNA is filed under the name uncultured bacterium. RNAcentral describes it as "partial 16S ribosomal RNA". It matches the Rfam family "Bacterial small subunit ribosomal RNA", at positions 30 to 507 of the family's 1533-position model. The record is from RNAcentral.